Molecule: ribosomal RNA, 515 nt
Filed under: Melanargia larissa
Lineage: Eukaryota; Metazoa; Arthropoda; Insecta; Lepidoptera; Nymphalidae
Description: partial 16S ribosomal RNA
Source: RNAcentral
GUCUUUUUGAAAUAAUUUAAAGUNUAAUCUGCCCACUGAUAAAAAAUUAAAGGGCUGCAGUAUAAUGACUGUACAAAGGUAGCAUAAUCAAUAGUUUUUUAAUUGAAAACUUGUAUGAAAGAUUUGAUGAAAUAUGGACUGUCUCUAAUUUAUAGAUUGAAUUUUAUUUUUUAGUAAAAAAGCUAAAAUAAAUUUAAAAGACGAGAAGACCCUAUAGAGUUUUAUAUUUAAUUUUAUUUUAAAAUUAUAUAAAAAUUAAUAUUAAAAAUAAAAUUAAAUAUUAUAUUGGGGUGAUAGAAAAAUUAAAUUAACUUUUUUUAAAAAUUAAACAUAAAUAAAUGAUUGUAUGAUCCAUAAAUAAUGAUUAUAAGAAAAAAUUACCUUAGGGAUAACAGCGUAAUAUUUUUUUUUAGUUCAAAUAAAAAAAAAAGUUUGCGACCUCGAUGUUGGAUUAAGAUAAAAUUUAAAUGCAAAAGUUUAAAAAUUUUGAUCUGUUCGAUCAUUAAAAUCUUACA